RNAcentral lists this ribosomal RNA (253 nucleotides) under uncultured bacterium. RNAcentral describes it as "partial 16S ribosomal RNA". It matches the Rfam family "Bacterial small subunit ribosomal RNA", at positions 524 to 776 of the family's 1533-position model. The record is from RNAcentral.
UACAGAGGGUGCAAGCGUUAAUCGGAAUUACUGGGCGUAAAGCGUGCGUAGACGGUUAUGUAAGUCGAGUGUGAAAGCCCCGGGCUCAACCUGGGAAUUGCAUUCGAGACUGCAUAGCUAGGGUUCGGAAGAGGGAAGCGGAAUUUCCGGUGUAGCGGUGAAAUGCGUAGAUAUCGGAAGGAACACCAGUGGCGAAAGCGGCUUCCUGGUCCAGAACCGACGUUCAGGCACGAAAGCGUGGGGAGCAAACAGG